This 345-nucleotide ribosomal RNA is filed under the name uncultured bacterium. RNAcentral describes it as "bacterial SSU rRNA". It matches the Rfam family "Bacterial small subunit ribosomal RNA", at positions 28 to 371 of the family's 1533-position model. The record is from RNAcentral.
GACGAACGCUGGCGGCGUGCCUAACACAUGCAAGUCGAACGGGAAAGUGGAGCAAUCCAUGAGUAUAGUGGCGACCGGGUGAGUAACACGUGACUAACCUACCUUCAAGUGGGGGAUAACCUCGGGAAACCGGGGCUAAUACCGCAUAAUAUCUCUGUUAUGAGAAAGCAGGGAUCAAAGGAGCAAUUCGCUGGAAGAGGGGGUCGCGGCUGAUUAGCUAGUUGGUGGGGUAAUGGCCCACCAAGGCUUUGAUCGGUAGCCGGCCUGAGAGGGCGCACGGCCACACUGGAACUGAAACACGGUCCAGACUCCUACGGGAGGCCGCAGUGGGGGAAUUUUGCGCAA